GGCACCACCAAAUCCCCACCGAUGUCACCACCCACUGCGUGCCCCUUCUUAUCCACAACACGUCGCCAUUCCUCAUCACCCAAGCGCCGCUCCGCCUCCAUCUUCCUCCUGCUGCCUGACCACCCAUCGUUGCUCCUCCUCCUCUUCUCCUCUUCUCCAUCCGCCUCACACCCAAGUGUUGCUUUCCUGUUCUUGGCCGCGGUGGCUGGCCUGAGCCACAUCCCAGCUGACAGCGUCGGCGUGCUUUCUGGCUACGGCUGGGGCGUUGGUGGCCUGCUCAUCGGCGCACUCGGGCCGGGGCGGAGCCCCCUUCCUUGCAGUGGUGAUGGAGCCCCUCCUCCCGGAGGGUGGCUGGGGGCAACCGAGGUUGCAGGGCAGGUGUGCAGUGGCUCGGUUGCGCCAGAUCUGGCGGCUGGCCAGCACGCGCGGGGGGCGGUCUGGUGGUGGUGUUCGUCUGCCGGUGGCCACGGAUGUGGGAGUGCCGAAGCUGCCUCCGGUGAAAGCCCCUGGGCCCCGGUUUUCUCUUCCAUGAGCUGGUCUCUGUAUCAGCAAUGGGCAUCAAUUUUCUCUGUAUCUUUAGUUCGGCUCUCUCUCCUUCUUUAGGAUUAUUAGCUCAAAUGGCAAUUAAGACAUUUCUUUCUAUUAGACUCGGUGCUUUUCUUUGGAUUCAUGUGCAUCUCCUCUUUGCUCAUUUUCAAUUGGUGACGCAUAUAGUAGAUGCGGCAGGCAGCUUUCUUGAUUUUUCUCUAGGGUAAACAUGAACAUCUCAUCCGCUUUUUGUUGGCUUGUUGAUCUUGUAAUGCAUGAAAUAAGUUGGUUGGAUUUUAUGUAAUAGAGCAGGUAGGACUAUUAAUUGGAAUCUGAAAUUUUAGCACAGGCACAAGACUUGGUUCCUAAGGCAGGAAGAGGAGGAGCUCGGGCGCGCUGGUGAGAGGAGCCGAAGUGGAACGGUGGUGCCGGGUGAUGCGGUCGCCGGCGUCGGCCGGCAGCGGAUUGAGCAUCACGUGGGCCGCGAGCUUCUUUGUAAACCACAGGGGCUUCUUUGUAAAAAAGCGUGACGGACGACAGAAAUCCAACCAUCCGGAGCUGUCGCCGCCGCGAAGAGCGCCGCCCCACCGCGCCGGAAAGGAAGCAUGUGGAUAAGAUAGAACAAAGGGUCGCGGACCGAAUUCUUACAAACAUAGGGUUCUUUUUUGUAAAAAUGAAUCGUUAUCUCAGAUCCACUUAAACAGGGACUGCGGGUUGAAUUCUCACAAGCAGAGGGGCUUUUUUGGAAAAGUGCCGACGACGGACGGGCAGAAGCACUCCGUGCUUUAUUAGUAGGGAAAGAUAUAUAUUCUUGCUUUUAGAUUUUUUUUUCCUUGUUUUUCAUGAACGAAAAAGGUAUAGAAGGCCAA
Molecule: ribosomal RNA, 1397 nt
Filed under: Triticum aestivum (bread wheat)
Lineage: Eukaryota; Viridiplantae; Streptophyta; Magnoliopsida; Poales; Poaceae
Description: partial small subunit ribosomal RNA
Source: RNAcentral